RNAcentral lists this ribosomal RNA (483 nucleotides) under uncultured bacterium. Its description in RNAcentral is "partial 16S ribosomal RNA". It matches the Rfam family "Bacterial small subunit ribosomal RNA", at positions 28 to 523 of the family's 1533-position model. The record is from RNAcentral.
GACGAACGCUGGCGGCGUGCUUAACACAUGCAAGUCGAACGAUGAAGCCGCUUCGGUGGUGGAUUAGUGGCGAACGGGUGAGUAACACGUGGGCAAUCUGCCCUGCACUCUGGGACAAGCCCUGGAAACGGGGUCUAAUACCGGAUAUGACCAUCGGCCGCAUGGCCUGGUGGUGGAAAGCUCUGGUGGUGCAGGAUGAGCCCGCGGCCUAUCAGCUUGUUGGUGGGGUGAUAGCCUACCAAGGCGACGACGGGUAGCCGGCCUGAGAGGGCGACCGGCCACACUGGGACUGAGACACGGCCCAGACUCCUACGGGAGGCAGCAGUGGGGAAUAUUGCACAAUGGGCGCAAGCCUGAUGCUGCGACGCCGCGUGAGGGAUGACGGCCUUCGGGUUGUAAACCUCUUUCAGCAGGGAAGAAGCUUUCGGGUGACGGUACCUGCAGAAGAAGCACCGGCUAACUACGUGCCAGCCGCCGCCGUAA